UAAAGCUAAGAAAAGCAGAGAUUUUGUCUCGUACCUUUUGCAUCAUGAUUUAGCAAGUAUUUGCCAAGCAAAAAGUAUUUUAGUUUGGCCCCCCGAAACCAAGUGAGCUACUCCAAGACAACCUAUAACUAGGGUAAACCCGUCUCUGUGGCAAAAGAGUGGGAAGAUCUUUGAGUAGAGGUGACAGACCAAUCGAACUUGGCAAUAGCUGGUUGCUUGAGAAACGAAUAGAAGUUCUGCCUCUUACAUUCUCACUUCAAUCCUGGUCAACAAGACCUUGUCCGCAGGUAAAAAGAAGGUAAGAAGGUUAAUCAAAGGGGGUACAGCCCUUUUGAGACAAAACACAACUUUUCCAGAAGGGUAAAGAUCAUAAUUUUUAAGGUAACUAUGUUUUGGUGGGCCUAAAAGCAGCCAUCCCAUUAGAAAGCGUUAAAGCUCUAACAUACUUUCCCCCUCGAUUCCGAUAACAAAUCUUAACCCCCUAAUACAUAUCAAGCCGUCCCAUAAGUAUAUGGGAGUGAUUAUGCUAAAAUGAGUAACCAGAGAGCACUGCCUCUCUCCCUGUACAUGUGUAAAUCGGAACGGACUCCCCGCCGAAAUUUAACGGUCCCAAACAAUAGAGGGCACUGAAUGAUAAACAACAAACAAGAAAAUCAUCCAAAACACUACCGUUAACCCUACACAGGUGUACUCCAAAGGAAAGACCAAAAGGAAAAGAAGGAACUCGGCAAAUACACCUAUAAGCCUCGCCUGUUUACCAAAAACAUCGCCUCUUGUUAAUUACACAUAAGAGGUCUAGCCUGCCCCGUGACCCCUGGUUCAACGGCCGCGGUAUUUUGACCGUGCAAAGGUAGCGCAAUCACUUGUCUCUUAAAUGAAGACCCGUAUGAAUGGCAUAACGAGGGCUUGACUGUCUCCUUUUCCCGGUCACUGAAAUUGAUCUUCCCGUGCAGAAGCGGAAAUUCUCACAUAAGACGAGAAGACCCUAUGGAGCUUUAGACCUCAGAACAGGCCAUGUAAGCUACCUCAAUAAAAUAGGUAAUAACUAUUGAACCUCUGUUCCCCUGUCUUUGGUUGGGGCGACCACGGGGAAGAAAAAAUCCCCCAUGUGGACCAGGAGCACAAUUUACUCCUACAACAAUGAGCUACAGCUCUAAAGCACAGAAUCUUUGACCAUAAGAUCCGGCAAAGCCGAUUAACGAACCAAGUUACCCUAGGGAUAACAGCGCAAUCCUCUUUAAGAGUCCAUAUCGACAAGAGGGUUUACGACCUCGAUGUUGGAUCAAGACAUCCUAAUGGUGCAGCCGCUAUUAAGGGUUCGUUUGUUCAACGAUUAAAGUCUU
This 1343-nucleotide ribosomal RNA is filed under the name Pseudomyxus capensis (freshwater mullet). RNAcentral's name for it is "partial 16S ribosomal RNA". It matches the Rfam family "Bacterial large subunit ribosomal RNA", at positions 556 to 2597 of the family's 2925-position model. Lineage: Eukaryota; Metazoa; Chordata; Actinopteri; Mugiliformes; Mugilidae. The record is from RNAcentral.